GAUGAACGCUGGCGGCGUGCUUAACACAUGCAAGUCGAACGAACAGAGGUGGAGGCUUGCUUCUAUCCGUCUUAGUGGCGCACGUGUGUGUCACGCGUAAACAACCUGUCCUUCAGAGGGGGACCACAGGUGGAAACGACUGCUUAUACCGCAUACUAUCCAACCUCGGCAUCCAGGAGUGAUAGACGGUGGUGUCUAUUUAUAUGCUAGCACUCACGGCGGGUUAUGCGGCUGAUUAGCUAGUUGGGUAGGUAAGGGGCUAACCAGGCAAUGAUUAGUAGCCGGUCUGAGGAGAGGGACGGCCCACUUGGGACUGGGACACGGCCCAGAACUCUAAGGGAGGGAGCCGGGGGGAAUCCUUCGCAAUGGAGGAAAGGCUGAAGGAGCAACGCCGCGUGGGGGAUGACGGCCUUCGGGUUGUAAAGCUCCGUUAAUCGGGACGAAAGGUCUUCGUGCGAAUAGAUAGAAGAAUUGACGGUACCGGAAUAGAAAGCCACGGCUAACUACGUG
Molecule: ribosomal RNA, 510 nt
Filed under: uncultured bacterium
Lineage: Bacteria
Description: partial 16S ribosomal RNA
Rfam family: Bacterial small subunit ribosomal RNA
Source: RNAcentral